This is a long non-coding RNA of Vidua chalybeata, 537 nucleotides long. RefSeq lists it as uncharacterized. The transcript is spliced from 3 exons. The record is from RefSeq and is a predicted model, not a curated record. Lineage: Eukaryota; Metazoa; Chordata; Aves; Passeriformes; Viduidae.
UAUCACUUUCACUGUUUCCAGCCGCCAUUCUGGGAGCAGCAGAGGCAAUACCCGAGGGACUCAAUAAGGGCACAGGUCCUGCUGAGCACUCUGUCUCCAUCUUUCCUUUGGGUCCCUCCAAGUCCUGCUCAGCUGCUGUGAGGCCUCCAGGCUCCCUCACCUCGCCUCUGCUGGCACUCCUUUCCCAGAAGCCGCCUUCCUCCGAAAAUCUUUAUGGCUUUUCUCUCCCUGCUGUCCCAGACUAAAAUCACCCUUACAUCUCCACAGCAGCUCCUCUCCAUGUUUCUAUGACCAUGCAAUAACGCAUCCCAGCUCCACCAGGCUGCCGGGCCUUGGUCCUGCAGGGAAACCCGCCGGUGGCCGGUCGGCAGGAACCACGAUAACUAGGAGGAUGGAUCCACCAACGGACGGGACGACACCCAGAGCACUACAGUUCUCAAGGGUUUAUUGCAGCAGUUUCCCAUGGCAUCCCUGACAGAUCCCCUCCAGGACCACCUCCCACACAGCUCAGGACUGCCUCCAUAAAUAAAUUCCAAA